This is a non-coding RNA of Vicugna pacos (alpaca), 1150 nucleotides long. NCBI's taxonomy places the organism in Eukaryota, Metazoa, Chordata, Mammalia, Artiodactyla, Camelidae. The record is from RefSeq and is a predicted model, not a curated record.
UCCGCUGCCGCCCCAAGGCUGCCGGUCGCCGAGCGCGACCGGGAGGUGGAAUCCGUCUGCCAGAGGGCAUCCCUUUCCAGUUUGGGGGCCCAGUUGCAGAGCCGAGCAUCCCACCCACCAGUCUCACCUAAGACCCCUGUAGGGGUAGAAAAGAGAGGAACUACCACGAGGAGACCCGACAACGAGCCAGGGACCCGCGGGAAGACAUAAAAAGGGGUUUGAGAAGACUCUUGCUAUGUCCCUGAUCAGUUGAGAGCUUUGGGAGUAAGGGGAUAAAAAGAUCUGGAAAGUGCUGCUCUGAGUGUGGGAAGGAGAGGCUGGAGUGUCGCUGCCAGUUAUGCAUACACUCAGGUGAGCCAACCUAUACUAAACGAACAGGCAUUACACAUAAAACCACCCUCCUGCGUUCCACCUCAGGAGACUGAGGCAUACCUAAGUAAAUUAUGCUACCAGGAAGAGUGGCUCCAGUCUGAUCCAGUGGCAGAGAAAACCCUGGCUGUGUUGGGCUUCCUUAGAAAUGGAAUGUUGCCCUCCAAAACAGUGCUUCAGGAACUUCUGCGGUAGUUUUACCUUUGCCGAUAAAGCUUCUGAGACAGUGGGACAAGUAACAGAUUACAUCAAACUUCAGAACUUCUCAAAUAUCUAGUUAUUAUACACAUUCCCAUCUGUCUUGCAGGGAGGGAUCUUGGUCGGCUUAAGAGUUUCAGAUAUAGACAGUGGGGCAGAAGAAAAGGUGGCUACACUUUAAAUCAUAAAUCUUCACAACAGCUUUAAAAGAAAAACAAAACAGAAUUUGCCUUGUCCUACCAUCAGAGAAACAAGCAGUCGGCUCUUGGAAGCAAAUUCUAAAGACUAUUAUUACAGCCCAUGUGUGAAAUAUUACGGAUUCUACGGCAACCCCUUUGACUGUGCUGUUCUCCAGACACGUGUGCUGCUGCAGUUACACAGACAGAGAAGCUUCUCAAACAUUGCAUGAACAGGUGGGCAGGUCUUGUAAAAGGGAAAGUAUGUACAUCUUUGUAGAAAAUUUUUUACAAUGAGGGGUUGGAAACUUUAAAAUAGCAGAUAUUUUUAUGUAUAUCGCCUACUGAGGCAAAAAAGGGUGGCAGACAUGACUUACACAUUUAAUAAAGAAUACUGUUUAUCAUCA